This 318-nucleotide ribosomal RNA is filed under the name Triticum aestivum (bread wheat). RNAcentral's name for it is "partial small subunit ribosomal RNA". Lineage: Eukaryota; Viridiplantae; Streptophyta; Magnoliopsida; Poales; Poaceae. The record is from RNAcentral.
AUGUGUUUUCAAUUGGGAGCUCUCCACUCGAAAGAUACCUCAACGCCCAGCCACCUCUUCACCACCACACGCCAGUCAGCGCACGAGGCAGCGGAACUGGGUUUGUCUUCGUCCAGGGAAGUGAAGGCUCAGUUAGUGAUUUGUCUCGGGCAUUUUCAUCAAAAAGGGAGCACUUGUGAGCGGCUACCACCAGGAGGUGACCAGUACACGAGCAGCUGCAUACGACAAGAGGAGAGGCACACAAAUGACGUAAUAUUCAGCAUUUGCAGCACAUAUGUUGCACAUUCUGGAGUUUGUGCCUGCAAAGUGAAUGGGUAG